This 396-nucleotide ribosomal RNA is filed under the name uncultured bacterium. RNAcentral's name for it is "bacterial SSU rRNA". It matches the Rfam family "Bacterial small subunit ribosomal RNA", at positions 28 to 429 of the family's 1533-position model. The record is from RNAcentral.
GACGAACGCUGGCGGCGUGCUUAACACAUGCAAGUCGAGCGGUAAGGCCCUUUCGGGGGUACACGAGCGGCGAACGGGUGAGUAACACGUGGGUGACCUGCCCUUAGCUCUGGGAUAAGCCUGGGAAACUGGGUCUAAUACCGGAUAUGACCUCAUGACGCAUGUUGUGGGGUGGAAAGCCUUGUGCGGCUAGGGAUGGGCCCGCGGCCUAUCAGCUUGUUGGUGGGGUGAUGGCCUACCAAGGCGACGACGGGUAGCCGGCCUGAGAGGGCGACCGGCCACACUGGGACUGAGACACGGCCCAGACUCCUACGGGAGGCAGCAGUGGGGAAUCUUGCGCAAUGGGCGAAAGCCUGACGCAGCGACGCCGCGUGAGGGAUGACGGCCUGGUGUAAC